AAGAAGUGAAGAUUUUCAGAACACUGAAGAGAGAAGAAAAUGAAAAAGCUGUCUGGAAUGUGGUUACAGCUAUGAUUAUCAGUACCUCAUACAGACUCUUCAUGCCUCUGUGCAUGAAAGCGUGCACAUGCUAUGGUGAAUGUACAAGGAAUGCUGCUCUCCUACAUUCUUAAUUACUUCAGAUUCAUAGGUGUCUCUGAGGACUGAGGACAGAUGUGGGCUGGGGAUCAUCUGGGGUCCUGCAAGAAAAGUUCAUCUGAUUUCCUCUGGAGUUUCAUGAGUGGUAUAGUGGCAUGAAGGAAACCAACUACCUUCAGAUCUUCAAGAUGAGUAUAACCACUCCUAAGAGGCCUGGAAAGCUGGUCAUAUCCCAAUUUCUCUAG
Passer domesticus (house sparrow) is the source of this 383-nucleotide long non-coding RNA. RefSeq lists it as uncharacterized. The transcript is spliced from 4 exons. The record is from RefSeq and is a predicted model, not a curated record. NCBI's taxonomy places the organism in Eukaryota, Metazoa, Chordata, Aves, Passeriformes, Passeridae.